Molecule: long non-coding RNA, 1573 nt
Organism: Acanthochromis polyacanthus (spiny chromis)
Lineage: Eukaryota; Metazoa; Chordata; Actinopteri; Pomacentridae
Exons: 2
Source: RefSeq, a predicted model, not a curated record
GAGAGGUCCCACACAGCGCUUCAGACACCACAACUGACACUCCGGCCAUGCAAGGGGCUGGCGGCAGGGGAAAUACAGACAGAUAGCAGAGUGACAGCAGAGUGAGUGCUGAGGGAAAGGGCAUGACGUGCAUAAAAACGGUAGGAACAGCGAGUCCUGAGACGAGCAGACAGACAGGAAGCGAAAGAGAGGGGACAGUCGGAGGAAUGGGUAAACAGGGAGCCCUCUCUUCAGCCCCUCUUGGUAUUUGGCGAGCAGCCAGCUCCUCCAUCAACAGCACUCAGGGAAAUGGAGAGGGAGGAAAGGAAAGGAUGGGAGGGGAGACGCACAGAAGAAUACGGCGGAGGGAGAUGGCGAGGCAGAGACGUAGCUACAAGGAUACGGAGAACAGGAGAGGGACGAGUGGGAAACAGGAUGGAGGGAAGGGAAGGGAAGGGAGGAAGAAUGGAAAAUAAGGAGAAGGAGGGAGGACGGGUUUGGGUGACAGAUACUGUAGAUAGUUAAGACAGAUGGGGCAGAGGACAGGAAGGACAAAAUGGAAAAGAGGGAGAUGGUGAGAAAGAGGGGAGACAGAGACAGAUGAAGGAAACAGGAGGGAGAAAAGGGCUUCGGAGAGGGGAGUGUGGGUGUGGAGAUACAUAAUCGAGGAGAUUGAGCAGCAGGAGGGAGAGAGGAGACAGGAGCUUGCAGAGAAGGCAGUAACCAGAGUCCUAUUGAUGUGUAACAAAAUCCUGCAUCGGGGAGAGACAAACGGAAGGACAAACGGAUGGAGGGGAGAUAUGGAAGAGCAAAAAAAAAAAGGAAGAGGAAGAAUGUGGCCGCGGUAGAGUGGGUGAGGGAUGCGUGGGUGAAUGAGCAGAAGCUGGGAUGGAGAAGGGCAUAAUGUCAUUUGUUAAAUAAUGCAGGGAGCAAACGCGAGAGGCAGGAAGCGUGAUGGACACAGAGACGGACUGCUGCCAACAGCGAAAGUUAAGCUGCUGUUACAUAGCACACCACACAACAACAACAACACACAUCAGUGUGGAAAUCAGAUGAAGAACGGGCAAAGGAUGUGGAGGAGGCGACAACGAGGAUGUACAAGCUGCAUCUCCCUUCUAUCAGCGUGGACAAUGAAACAGACAGGCUAACAGCUCUGAUGAGAAAUUAAGGGGACAAUGGCAACAGGAUUUACUCAUUGCUAACAUCAGCGGCUUUCAGUAAGGUUAGCCAAACAAGAAUGGACCCAAGAGUGACAAGAAAAAAGAUGGAGGGUUUGUUUCUUUUAAUAACAGGUGGUGCCACUUUGGUCACAGUACCUUAAAGGAACUUUUCGGCACCCUCAUAUCAAACUGUUAGCUGUGGAGCUAAGUGCAUUCUCAGUAGGACAUGCCAUCUGAGUUGCUGUUUGCAUUCCUCCUUCAACUAACAUGGCAACUGUGUAUGAAAUCAUCCAUUUUAUUUGACUUUGCACACUCGUGUUUUCUUGUAUUCUUGUAUUAUAAUCUUGUCAGCUUUUAAUAACUUUAUUAUUUUUGACCAACUGUUUAGAAAGCAGCUUCCCAGUGGAUAUUAUUAAAGUAAUUAUGAAGCAGAA